GCCGAGACAUACAGAUGGAUGCGAAAUAUCAGAGGGGGAGAAAAUGAGGUCAAAAACAAAAUCGAUGGGAAACGAGGGGAGUCUGGCGUAUCAGAAAAGCAGACAGUCUCAAUAAAACAUCAAUCCUCUAUCUUUGCAUGGGAGAACGCUUGAACGGAGAAGGUUUGCAUAAGCAAAUAUCUCGGAUCUGAAACCAGGAACAAGAAGUUGGACUAAUCAUGAAGCUUGCUCUAUUAGCUCUGAAAAAAAACAAAAAGCAAGAAGAUGGCAUUUCUCCGCUCCUCCUGCUACUGCAGCCCCGGUGCUGAACGGACAGCGCCAUUUCAGCACCCCCAGUGUUGUGGAUAGCCAGGAAGCACAUGGCUGCAAGGCGGGGCGGCAAAAGCACGCCACAAUCCAGGCAGCCAAUCAGAGCAGUGCUGUAAGCUCUUCACCUUCUGUGAGAAUAGCAGAGAGAGCACCAUGGGGUGCAAUGCCUCCUCAAGAGUAAAGUCGAAUGUAGCACUACAACUACUGUGCUUUUCUCCCUCUUAUUUGGAAGACAUCCCGUGGACUCCAAAGACGAUGCUACCUGAGCUCAAUGCACCUAGCCAGGCUCCUGGGCCUCACCGCAUGGCUGUGCCUCAGAAGCCCGGAACUGCUCCAACCAGCUGACGCUCCAGAAAAAUGUUUCCCACUCCCUUUUUUUUUUAAUUUUCACUACACUUAAAGAUUAUUCCACUGGCUUAUAGUAAAUAAAACAAUACUCCUGCUCACAGAAUGUGGUCUCUGGUGUCUGUGUUCAGCCCCUCACAGCCUGAGUAACUACAAUUAUUACUAUAUACCUCUGAAUACCCAGACACUCCCACAUCCACAGUCACCCAGCUCUGCUUAAGUGU
Hemibagrus wyckioides is the source of this 878-nucleotide long non-coding RNA. RefSeq lists it as uncharacterized. The transcript is spliced from 3 exons. Lineage: Eukaryota; Metazoa; Chordata; Actinopteri; Siluriformes; Bagridae. The record is from RefSeq and is a predicted model, not a curated record.